UUUGUACUCCCUCCAUCCCAAAAUUCAUGUCUUACAUUUGUCUAGAUAUGAAUGUAUCUAGUCACAUUUUAGUAUUUAGAUACAUCCAUUUCUAGACAAACCUAAGACAAGAAUUUUAGGACGUAGGGCGUAUAAG
Molecule: microRNA precursor, 136 nt
Filed under: Hordeum vulgare
Lineage: Eukaryota; Viridiplantae; Streptophyta; Magnoliopsida; Poales; Poaceae
Description: microRNA MIR1122
Rfam family: MIR1120/MIR1122 microRNA precursor family
Source: RNAcentral